CAUGUAUAUGUGCUUGUUUGUGUUCAUCAAUGUGCGCGUGCGCGCUUUUGUGUCUGCGCUUUGAGAGUGCGUAUACUUGUGUGUGCGUGUGGGUGCGUUUUGUGUGCGUGCGUGUGUAUUGCAUGAGGCCGGUAGAGUUUUACUCGCAAUAAAACUCUUCCGAUUUGGUGCAGCGAAUGUUCCCGCCUGAAAGCCGAGUUUGGUUUCAAGCCACCCUGGACAACUGCUGUAUGAGGCGCCGUUUCUCGGGAGGACCAGUGGGAAGGCGCCAAGUCAUGCAGAUGGUAGCAGCAAUUUCACAAUGCCCAGCCUUGGCGCCCCCAUCAAGAGCAAGCCACUUGCGUUCGCCUUCAGACAGAUGGUUAAUGUCUUCUUGAAAGCGGUUGAGAAGACAACAUUGAUGCAAGAUUCCAGCAAUGCCAUGCGCUGCAUUUAUUGGUCAAGAUGCUCAGAGAAUGGAGUCCCUGCACCUCGUGGUUAACCGUGAACAUUUCUUUUUCUUUUGGAAAGCUAAAGGCCAUUUGCUGCAUCACUUGCAUUUUUGCAGCUCAGAUGUGUACUAUAUUUUCUAAUUUUGAAUCAAUAUUGGCUGUUCAGUAUAAAAAAUGACGUACAGCGUGAAGGACAAGGACUGCGAGAGACACACUCCACUGACUUUCAACAAUAUUUUAUUGCGUUGCCACAUCGUGUGUGAAUACACAGAGGGGUCAUGCGCAGAAAAUGAAAGCCAGUCGCAAGGGGUGUUCUAACAGCAAGUCAUUGUAAAAAGAGCAUGGUCACUUGAAAAAAAAAACAUCACAAUUUCUAUCUGUUUAGAUACAAAAUUUCACUAGGGGUCAGCGUGAUAGAGGGGCCACUAACGCACACACUACCCAGUUUUCUGGUGAAAUCAGCUUCAAUAAUUUACUGGGUGAGCUGUCUCUCGCUGAAACUUCCGUAUCUUAAAGAGGGGCAUGCAGCUGCAGUCCCGGCAAUGAAUGCCCAAGUGGCCUUGAACAGUGUUAUUGAUGUUGUUAUAGUGCUCUCUUAAACGAUCAUUUAGGCGCCUGCCUAUCUGUCCAAUAUAUUUACUGCCUCAAAAUGGGAAUUUGGGAAACCACAUUCGUUGCACACAUCGCAAAACGUUUUCUGUGCCCGGCAGAGCAACAACUCUGACGUGAUUCAGGCGCGUUUACACACUUACAGAGCCUUGCCAGCUUUUCCGGGGCUGAGAAAAGGACUGCGAUUUCUGCAGGUUCCCUAAUCUUUUUUAGCCUAUGGGAGACAUCAUGAACAUACGGUAGCACUGCAAACCUGUGUCUUUCAACCGGCUGGUUCCUUGACCGAGCGUGCUCAUCAUGUUUUGUGCACUUCAGAAGCUGUUCUGCUAUGCCUGAAAUUAAGGCCAAAGGGUAGCCAACGCAAGAAAGGCAAUCAGCCUGUGCAGCAACGCUAUGUUGCAUCUCGUGUGAGCAAGAUUUAUUGAGGCUGUUAAGGAGGCAAAGCUUUACAAUGUUUCAUUUGACUUUGUUGGACAGACAGGCAGGCGCCUAAACAAUAAUUUAGGAGAGCACGAUAACAACGUCCAUAACACUAAUCAAGGCCACUUCGGCAUCCAUUCCUGGGACUGCGGCUGCGUGCCCCUCUUUGAAGGUACGGAAGCUUUAGCGAGACGCAGGUCAUCCGGGAAACUAUAGAAGCAGAUUUCACUAGAAAACUGGUUAGUGUGUGCGUUAGUGACCCCUCUAUCGUGCUGACUCCUAGUGAAGUCUUGUAUCUCAACAGAUAGAAAUUCUAAUGUUUAUUUUUUUCAAAGGGUGAUGUUCUUAGUACAGUCACUUGCUGUUAGACACCCCUUGUGACUCAUAUUCUGCGCAUGCCCGCUUUUGUACAAAUACACAUGAUGUGGCAACAUAAUUAAAUAUUGUUGGAAGUCAGCGCAGUCUGUCAUCUCUCGCAGUUCUUGUCAUUCAAGCUGUACGUAAUUUUAUCUCAUUAAUUGCAAACUAUCCCAAGAAACUACCCUUGUUCAGUAUAAUUAUAAUGUUUGAUACGACCAUUUGCUGGCAAAUGUUAACAGUGUGAUAUUUAACUUGAACUUUUGCAUGACUGCCUAUGCCUGUGUUCUUUUAGUAACCAGAGUAUGGCUAAUUUAUUAAACCAUAUUAUCUAAUUUGCAUGCUCACAUGCUAUAGCAUGCCUUAAUCUUGAAUUACUGCAUCUAAGUGCAAAUAAUUUAUUUAAUAAUUUAUUUAAAUAAAUCGUUUAAUCAACAGUGGUUUGUUUUUAUCAGGCCUCCUACUGCACUUUGCACCCAGGCACUAGUAGAUGUGGAAUAUGCACUCUUUUGAUUGAUUGUAAGAAAAGAACCUAUUUUCAAACUACAUAUUGUAUAUGUACCAGUGCCUUAGAGUUACAAAACAAAAAUUUAUAGAAACUGGUAUUGUAGUUAGAAAAACCGCUACACAGCACAUUUAGCCCAGAGAACUCUUGUUUCACAAAAGAGGACAAACUAUGUAGGCACUAAAAAAUUCUACGUAUUUUUUGUGCUCAAGUAAUCUUGUUGGAAAUAGAAAAUUAGCAAUAAGGCUUCUGGCAUAAACCUCACUUAAAGCAUGUCUAUGCUUGGAAAGUAUUGUUUCAGUCUGAAAAAUGUUGGCCAGUUAUGCUUUACAUCUACUUUCCAAACUUUUCAUAAUGCUUUGCGAUUACAUUAGUGUACAAAAUAACACGUGCCUUUCUUGUGCGUUUGCUCUGCAUUUCAAUUGCUUCCCUAAUUCACCUUUGCAAUAUGCCUUUUUUUUAAGGCAUCAAAACUUGAAUUUUCGUUCACUGGAGCCUAAUACUAAAAAUUUAUUCCUUUAUGUGGCCCAAAACACUGCGAAUCAACCCAGGCUCUUUCAGUGCCGCUAUACAUAGUUUCUUCUCUAAUAACAGAUUUGAUCAAUACAUAUAUUUUAGGUACCUUUGUGGGGAAUGUACAUGUUCUUUUACUUAGCGAUGUGUUUGGUGAUUGUGCAUGUUUAUAUUUCAUGUGAUUUAUGUAUGUGUUGUACUCUGUAUUGCAGCAUGCAAUAAAUAUAUUUGCGUUUUCUUGAAAAUGCAGCAUAUAUCUUACCAGUCUGUGUUGCAUGUUAUUUGUAUAUGGAAAUCGUGAUAACCUUGGUGUUGAUAUACUUGCUCAAAAGUGUCAAGUUUGCUAGGUUGUAUUUGUGCAGCGAAGACAGGUUUUCCAAUAUACACCAUGAAUUACUAAUAUGUAAUGUGAUCCACACGUAUAGGUGUUGUGUAUGCCCAUCGAAGCUUCAAGGCCGGCUGUUCGACAGUGCGUUUGGUAGCCGAACUUGAACCUUCUGGCACACGCAAUAGUUGCGCGAGGAUCGCUGUACAUAGUAGUAAUUGAAGGCGUGUACUGCCCAAUCUGCCUUCCAUACACGCUAGAAAUAAAAGGGUGUACACCCUUCCAACACCCACACAGAUGGGUGUUAAUUUGGACGAGCACCCUUACACCCUAAAUUUAUUUUGCUGGACACCCUUCCUUUAGGGUGCUAUAGUGGCACCCCAACUGUAGGGUGUAGACAACAGCACCCUUAGGGUGUUCGUCUGGCGACAAACUGAUUUACACCCUUAAGGGUGUUAAAAUGUUUA
Long non-coding RNA from Dermacentor albipictus, 3627 nucleotides. RefSeq lists it as uncharacterized. NCBI's taxonomy places the organism in Eukaryota, Metazoa, Arthropoda, Arachnida, Ixodida, Ixodidae. The record is from RefSeq and is a predicted model, not a curated record.